This 628-nucleotide ribosomal RNA is filed under the name Triticum aestivum (bread wheat). RNAcentral's name for it is "partial small subunit ribosomal RNA". The record is from RNAcentral. Lineage: Eukaryota; Viridiplantae; Streptophyta; Magnoliopsida; Poales; Poaceae.
CUUAUCCCCUUCCACGUCUUGACUUCUUAUUCUUUCCUUCCGAGUCUCCUGUUAUCCCCUUCAACAUCUUUUCUCCCCCGCGGCUAUGAUUUCUAGGGUUCAUCUAGCAGUCGAUCCGUCCCCUGUCUCGCGCUGUGGAUCCGUUGUUGCGCUCGCUAGUUCACACGCGAGAUCGAGAUGGCUUCCACUGGUGAAAAUGUUCCUGUACAGUCUAAAGCAAUUUUCCAGUCAUGUUUCUCUACUAUUCGAUGGGCCAAAGCUGUUAGUAAGAUGUCUGUUAGUAAGAUGUCUGUAUUGCAGAGAAGCUUUAUACCAGAGCAAUUUAAACAUCUUCUGAAUGUGCGCGAACAUGUUAUUCUGCCCAUGGAUUUGCUUCAAUGGCUAGCAAAACAUAUCCGCUAUGGUCAAGUAGGUAUUUUUGAGCAGAGAUAGUCAUUCAUAUCACCUGAGAUAUGGUUGAUAUGGUUUUUGGGUGGCGUUCUGGUCCUGUUCCUUUCUGUCUUGAGAGCAGUGAUAUUAAUGUUGUUGAGCAAGUAAUGUUACUGCGGAAGAAAUAUAGCGAUGAUGGCAUGAUAAAGGUUGGCCACGCUUGAAACAGUAAUGUUAUUUCAGUCUAGUAAUGGUAAUG